UGUUAAAAGUUUCAUCUUUUUGAAUAAAAAUUAGCGUGAUUGAUAGAAUAAUAAGACAAAAACGCUGGGCGUGUCACGUGUACCUCAUGUCGCGACAUACAAUGACAAAUUUUUAACAGUAGAAAUAGAUAAUUUUUUUAGCA
RNAcentral lists this microRNA precursor (143 nucleotides) under Gossypium hirsutum (cotton). Its description in RNAcentral is "MIR7502 microRNA precursor family". It matches the Rfam family "MIR7502 microRNA precursor family". Lineage: Eukaryota; Viridiplantae; Streptophyta; Magnoliopsida; Malvales; Malvaceae. The record is from Rfam by way of RNAcentral. RNAcentral also lists the same sequence under 1 other name.